AGGAGGACGGCGUGGACCCCAUGCUGACCCUGGAGGAGCAGCAGCUCCGCGAACUGCAGCGGCACGGCUAUGAGAACCCCACCUACCGCUUCCUGGAGGAACGACCCUGACCCGGCCCCCUUCACCCCUUCAGCCGAGCCCAGACCUCCUCUCUUCCUGGAGCCCCAGAACCCCAACUCCCAGCCUAGGGCAGCAGGGAGUCUUGAAGUGAUCGUUUCACACCCUUUUGUGAGAGGGCUGGAAAUUCUUAUUUCCCCUUUCCAAUUCCAAAUUCCAUCCCUAAGAAUUCCCAGAUAGUCCCAGCAGCCUCCCCACGUGGCACCUCCUCACCUUAAUUUAUUUUUUAAGUUUAUUUAUGGCUCUUUAAGGUGACCGCCACCUUGGUCCUAGUGUCUAUUCACUGGAAUUCACCCUCUCAUGUUUCCCUACUAACAUCCCAAUAAAGUCCUCUUCCCUACC
Molecule: small RNA, 459 nt
Filed under: Pongo abelii (Sumatran orangutan)
Lineage: Eukaryota; Metazoa; Chordata; Mammalia; Primates; Hominidae
Description: processed transcript
Source: RNAcentral